AGAGUUUGAUCCUGGCUCAGGAUGAACGCUAGCGGCAGGCUUAACACAUGCAAGUCGAGGGGCAGCAUGUCCAGCAAUGGAUGAUGGCGACCGGCGGAAGGGUGCGUAACGCGUGAGCAACAUGCCCUAUACAGGGAGAUACACCAGGGAAACUUGGUCUAAUAUCCCAUAGCAUUCAUUGAAGGCAUCUUUAAUGAAUUAAAGCUUCGGUGGUAUAGGAUUGGCUCGCGUGACAUUAGCCAGAUGGUGAGGUAACGGCUCACCAUAGCAAUGAUGUCUAGGGGUUUUGAGAGGAAGGCCCCCCACACUGGGACUGAGACACGGCCCAGACUCCUACGGGAGGCAGCAGUGAGGAAUAUUGGACAAUGGAUGGAAAUCUGAUCCAGCCAUGCCGCGUGCAGGAAGACGGCCUUAUGGGUUGUAAACUGCUUUUAUACGGGAGCAAUAAGGGUUACGAGUAAUCCGAUGAGAGUACUGUAUGAAUAAGGAUCGGCUAACUCCGUGCCAGCAGCCGCGGUAAUACGGAGGAUCCUAGCGUUAUUCGGAUUUAUUGGGUUUAAAGGGAGCGUAGGCGGGGGGUCAAGUCAGCUGUGAAAUACGUACGCUUAACGUUCGUCUUGCAGUUGAAACUGGUUUUCUUGAGUGCGUAUGAGGCAGGCGGAAUUCGUGGUGUAGCGGUGAAAUGCAUAGAUAUACCACAGAACACCGAUUGCGAAGGCAGCUUACUAAACUGUCACUGACGCUGAUGCACGAAAGCGUGGGUAUCAAACAGGAUUAGAUACCCUGGUAGUCCACGCUGUAAACGAUGAUUACUGGUUGUUUGCGAUACACUGCAAGUGACUGAGCGAAAGCAUUAAGUAAUCCACCUGGGGAGUACGUCGGCAACGAUGAAACUCAAAGGAAUUGACGGGGGCCCGCACAAGCGGAGGAACAUGUGGUUUAAUUCGAUGAUACGCGAGGAACCUUACCUGGGUUUAAAUGGGGAGUGACAGGCUUGGAAACAGGCCCUUCUUCGGACACUCUUCAAGGUGCUGCAUGGUUGUCGUCAGCUCGUGCCGUGAGGUGUCGGGUUAAGUCCCAUAACGAGCGCAACCCCUAUCGAUAGUUACCAGCACGUUACGGUGGGGACUCUAUCGAGACUGCCGGUGUAAACCGUGAGGAGGGUGGGGAUGACGUCAAAUCAGCACGGCCCUUACAUCCAGGGCUACACACGUGUUACAAUGGCCGGUACAAAGGGCAGCUACACAGCGAUGUGAUGCUAAUCUCCAAAUCCGGUCUCAGUUCGGAUCGAAGUCUGCAACCCGACUUCGUGAAGCUGGAUUCGCUAGUAAUCGCGCAUCAGCCAUGGCGCGGUGAAUACGUUCCCGGGCCUUGUACACACCGCCCGUCAAG
RNAcentral lists this ribosomal RNA (1392 nucleotides) under uncultured bacterium. Its description in RNAcentral is "bacterial SSU rRNA". It matches the Rfam family "Bacterial small subunit ribosomal RNA". The record is from RNAcentral.